GCUGAACUAGAUGCCGUAACCACCGCUCCGAAGCCGACGGCGGGGGCAGCUAGAUCUCGGCGCAGGUUCCUUUGACCCAUAGAUAAAACGGACCCAAACCCUCUCUCGCGUGCUUAAUCCAAUCACGCGAAUACCCUCCCACAUUGACAAGACCUAAAGCGGACGCUAGUUCACGAAGACUGCAUCGUAGUGAUAGUCGGUCGUAGCCGUCAGGAUUUCACGGCGACUGCUCCUCGGUGGGUGUGGGAAUUACCGGGAGCGGAGGGCGUGCAUUGGCAGGAAGCGUGUUGCGGCCGGUGCAAGCUCGCCGGUGAGUAACCAUCUCAGAAUCACCUUUUC
Molecule: long non-coding RNA, 339 nt
Filed under: Zea mays
Lineage: Eukaryota; Viridiplantae; Streptophyta; Magnoliopsida; Poales; Poaceae
Description: long non-coding RNA NONZMAT002490
Source: RNAcentral